This is a non-coding RNA of Chiloscyllium plagiosum (whitespotted bambooshark), 1439 nucleotides long. The record is from RefSeq and is a predicted model, not a curated record. Lineage: Eukaryota; Metazoa; Chordata; Chondrichthyes; Orectolobiformes; Hemiscylliidae.
CAUAGGGAAAUUUAAGCCUAUUGUAUGCCUGUGUGUAGAGAGAACAUGGUGUGACUUAAGCUAGUUUCCUGCAAUCUUGUGUCGUUUUAUAUUAUCUUGUACCGGUAGAGUUGAUAACUUUUGGUUAGAGUAACAAUUACUUCAGCUGUGCCUGGAAUCAGCUUGUGAAAUAUCCCUUCCAUAGAAUCGAUGUGAUGCCUGUGACUCAAAGAAAAACGGCUUUAAUUACAUUUGUGUAACCAUAAGAGGAGAAAGUGGAAUGAUGUGCAAGAGCCUGUGACAGUGUGACAAAGUCUACAAUAGAAUGUGAAGUAUAAGGAAAGGAAGCAUUGCACAAUUUCUACAAGUUAAAGGCUACGUUUGGAAAAUUCUGGAGAACAAAGGUACUCUUCUUUCAGCUUGCACAGGGCAGUCUGCACAUCAAUGCAAAAUUCAAGGGAUUUGCAGCAAGCCUGAAGCAGUUUUACCUUGGCUUUCUCCAGUAGUCCCCAGCUUCACAGAUGUCCGUCUUCAGCUAAUCUGAUACCAGAAAAUGAGUCAAGGCUUUGGAUUUAGCAAAGGUAUAGGCCCUGACAACAUUCCAGCAAUAGUACUGAAGACUUGUGCUCCAGAACUUGUUGCUCCCUUACCAAACUGUUCCAGUGUAACGAGAACACUGGCAUUUACCCCAAAACUUGGAAAAUUGGCCAAGUUUGAGCUGUACAUGAGAAACAGGACAAAUAUGCAAGCCGGCUAAGUGCCUACUCUCAUUCAUCAGCAACAUCAUGAAGGGCUUGUUGGAGUGCUAUCAGGUAGUGCUGGCAGAGGUGUAACCUGCUCACUGACACUCAGCUUGGGUUAUGCCAGGGCCACUCAGCCUUGUUUCAAACAUGGACAAAUGAGCUGGAUUGCAGAGGUAGGUGAGAGUGACAGCCCUUGACAUCAAGACAGUAUUUUACUAAGUAUCCAGGAGCAAAACUGGAGUCAACUGAAAUCAUGUGGAAAACCCUCCACUGAUUGGAAUUUGGUUGUGGUGUUAUGGUAUUGGAGAUGAGUCAUCUCAGCUCCAGGUCAACUCUGCAGGUGUUUCUCAGGGUAAUGUCCAUAGGCCCAACCAUCUUCAGCAGCUUCUUCAAUGAACGUCCCUUCAUCAUAAGGUCAGAAGUGGGGAUGUUCAGCACCAUUUGUGACUCCUCAGACACUGAAGCAACUCACAGGGCAGAGGCUUUUUAAAGAGAUUGAAAACAUGUUGUCUUGAUUAGCUGUCUGAUUAGUCUUCCUUCAAUGACUCAGUAACAUCCAUUAACCAGGUAAUGAGAAAGGCUCAGUAAUGCUAUUCCUUUUAUGUCUUCCCUUCCAGUUCAUAAUCAGGCUUCACUUCUAUUAAAGGUCUAGAUGAUACUAAUGGCUUGAUAGAAUGUUGAAUGACACAAGCCUUUUGGCCUAUCAUAUCCAUUCCC